AGAGUUUGAUCCUGGCUCAGAGCGAACGCUGGCGGCAGGCCUAACACAUGCAAGUCGAGCGGCCGUAGCAAUACGGCAGCGGCAGACGGGAGAGUAACACGUGGGAACGCGCCCUUCGGUUCGGGAUAACCCAGGGAAACUUGGGCUAAUACCGGAUACGCCCUUACGGGGAAAGAUUUAUUGCCGAAGGAACGGCCCGCGUCCGAUUAGCUAGUUGGUGAGGUAACGGCUCACCAAGGCGACGAUCGGUAGCUGGUCUGAGAGGAUGACCAGCCUCACUGGGACUGAGACACGGCCCAGACUCCUACGGGAGGCAGCAGUUAGGAAUCUUGCGCAAUGGACGAAAGUCUGACGCAGCGACGCCGCGUGCGGGAUGAAGGCCCUCGGGUUGUAAACCGCUUUCAGCAGGGACGAAAUUGACGGUACCUGCAGAAGAAGCCCCGGCCAACUACGUGCCAGCAGCCGCGGUAAUACGUAGGGGGCAAGCGUUGUCCGGAUUUAUUGGGCGUAAAGAGCUCGUAGGUGGUUCGGUAAGUCGGAUGUGAAAUCUCCAGGCUCAACCUGGAGGGGUCAUUCGAUACUGCCGUGACUAGAGGUCGGUAGGGGAGCGUGGAAUUCCUGGUGGAGCGGUGAAAUGCGCAGAUAUCAGGAGGAACACCCGUAGCGAAGGCGGCACUCUGGGCCGAUACUGACACUGAGGAGCGAAAGCGUGGGGAGCGAACAGGAUUAGAUACCCUGGUAGCCCACGCCGUAAACGUUGGGCACUAGUGUGGGACUCUAUCGACGGGUUCCGUGCCGUAGCUAACGCAUUAAGCGCCCCGUCUGGGGAGUACGGCCGCAAGGCUAAAACUCAAAUGAAUUGACGG
RNAcentral lists this ribosomal RNA (866 nucleotides) under uncultured bacterium. Its description in RNAcentral is "bacterial SSU rRNA". It matches the Rfam family "Bacterial small subunit ribosomal RNA", at positions 8 to 916 of the family's 1533-position model. The record is from RNAcentral.